Molecule: ribosomal RNA, 497 nt
Filed under: uncultured bacterium
Lineage: Bacteria
Description: partial 16S ribosomal RNA
Rfam family: Bacterial small subunit ribosomal RNA
Source: RNAcentral
GAUGAACGCUGGCGGCGUGCUUAACACAUGCAAGUCGAACGAAGCACUUUAUUUGAUUUCCUUCGGGACUGAUUAUUUUGUGACGGAGUGGCGGACGGGCUAGUAACGCAUGGGUAACCUGCCCUGUACAGUGGGAUAACAGUUGGAAACGGCUGCUAAUACCGCAUAAGCGCACGGCAUCGCAUGAUGCAGUGUGAAAAACUCCGGUGGUAUAAGAUGGACCCUGCUUGGAUUAGCUAGUUGGUGAGGUAACGGCCCGCCAAGGCGACGAUCCAUAGCCGACCUGAGAGGGUGACCGGCCACAUUGGGACUGAGACACGGCCCAAACUCCUACGGGAGGCAGCAGUGGGGAAUAUUGCACAAUGGGCGAAAGCCUGAUGCAGCGACGCCGCGUGAGCGAAGAAGUAUUUCGGUAUGUAAAGCUCUAUCAGCAGGGAAGAUAAUGACGGUACCUGACUAAGAAGCACCGGCUAAAUACGUGCAAGCCGCCGCAGUAA